UACUCUACCAUUGCCCGCCAACACUUCC
This 28-nucleotide small RNA is filed under the name Bombyx mori (domestic silkworm). Its description in RNAcentral is "ovarian small RNA-21413". Lineage: Eukaryota; Metazoa; Arthropoda; Insecta; Lepidoptera; Bombycidae. The record is from RNAcentral.